RNAcentral lists this unclassified non-coding RNA (415 nucleotides) under Hevea brasiliensis (rubber tree). Lineage: Eukaryota; Viridiplantae; Streptophyta; Magnoliopsida; Malpighiales; Euphorbiaceae. The record is from RNAcentral.
CAUCUGACUUGUAGGAAACAUUCCGAAAGUUCCUUGAGAUCAAUUCAGGCGCCAUAUAGCCAGCAGUACCUCUAGCUGUUUUAAUGGACACUGCACUUUGAUCCUUAGAACAGAACUUGGCCAUGCCAAAAUCAGAGAUUUUCGGGCUGAAGUUGUGGUCAAGUAAGAUGUUAUGGGGCUUGAUAUCAAAGUGGAGGAUUCUCCGUUCGCACCCCUGAUGAAGAUAUUCAAUCCCUUUAGCUAUGCCAAGAGCAAUAUCUUGCAGCCUUUUCCAGCCGAGGAAAUGGCUCUUGGAGUCAGCCGAAGAUACGAAUUUUUGUAAUGAAUUUGGCAAAUACUCAUAGACUAGAGCUCUUAUAAACCCAUCAGCACAGAAUCCAAUCAAACGAAUCACAUUGACAUGGUGGAUUUUGCC